AACGUAGGAGGCAAGCGUUAUCCGGAGUUACUGGGCGUAAAGCGCGUGUAGGCGGCUCGGUAAGUGGGUCGUGAAAGCGCCCGGCUAAACUGGGCGAGGACGAUCGAGACUGCCAGGCUAGAGGGUGGUAGAGGGACAGGGAAUUCCGGGUGUAGCGGUGAAAUGUGUAGAGAUCCGGAGGAACACCAGUGGCGAAGGCGCUGUCCUGGGCCACCUCUGACGCUGAUACGCGAAGGCGUGGGGAGCGAACGGGAUUAGAGACCCCGGUAGUCCACGCGGUAAACGAUGCAGACUGGGUGUUCACUUUCCUAACGGGAAGGGAGUGCCGAAGCUAACGCGGUAAGUCUGCCGCCUGGGGAGUACGGUCGCAAGGCUAAA
This 378-nucleotide ribosomal RNA is filed under the name uncultured bacterium. Its description in RNAcentral is "bacterial SSU rRNA". It matches the Rfam family "Bacterial small subunit ribosomal RNA", at positions 524 to 898 of the family's 1533-position model. The record is from RNAcentral.